AGAACGAACGCUGGCGGCAUGCCUAACACAUGCAAGUCGAACGAGACCUUCGGGUCUAGUGGCGCACGGGUGCGUAACGCGUGGGAAUCUGCCCUUGGGUUCGGGAUAACAGUUGGAAACGACUGCUAAUACCGGAUGAUGACUUCGGUCCAAAGAUUUAUUGCCCAGGGAUGAGCCCGCGUAGGAUUAGCUAGUUGGUGAGGUAAAGGCUCACCAAGGCGACGAUCCUUAGCUGGUCUGAGAGGAUGAUCAGCCACACUGGGACUGAGACACGGCCCAGACUCCUACGGGAGGCAGCAGUGGGGAAUAUUGGACAAUGGGCGAAAGCCUGAUCCAGCAAUGCCGCGUGAGGGAUGAAGGCUCUCGGGUCGUAAAACCCUCUUUUUCUCAGGGAAGAUCCAAGACGGUACCUGAGGAUAAGCGACGGCUAACUACGUGCCAGCAGCCGC
RNAcentral lists this ribosomal RNA (449 nucleotides) under uncultured soil bacterium. RNAcentral's name for it is "bacterial SSU rRNA". It matches the Rfam family "Bacterial small subunit ribosomal RNA", at positions 26 to 518 of the family's 1533-position model. The record is from RNAcentral.